CUUCAAUUUAAGAUUUUGUCGGCUCAGAUUGAACGCUGGCGGCAGGCCUAACACAUGCAAGUCGAGCGGAAACGAGUUAUCUGAACCUUCGGGGGACGAUAAAGGCGUCGAGCGGCG
This 117-nucleotide ribosomal RNA is filed under the name Vibrio alginolyticus. Its description in RNAcentral is "partial 16S ribosomal RNA". The record is from RNAcentral. Lineage: Bacteria; Pseudomonadati; Pseudomonadota; Gammaproteobacteria; Vibrionales; Vibrionaceae.